RNAcentral lists this ribosomal RNA (253 nucleotides) under uncultured bacterium. RNAcentral's name for it is "partial 16S ribosomal RNA". It matches the Rfam family "Bacterial small subunit ribosomal RNA", at positions 524 to 776 of the family's 1533-position model. The record is from RNAcentral.
UACGUAGGGUGCGAGCGUUGAUCGGAAUUACUGGGCGUAAAGUGUGCGCAGGCGGCCGCGCAAGUCGAGUGUGAAAGCCCCGGGCUUAACUUGGGAAUUGCGCUCGAAACUACGUGGCUGGAGUGUGGCAGAGGAAGGUGGAAUUCCAGGUGUAGCGGUGAAAUGCGUAGAGAUCUGGAGGAACACCGAUGGCGAAGGCAGCCUUCUGGGCCAACACUGACGCUCAUGCACGAAAGCGUGGGGAGCAAACAGG